Molecule: ribosomal RNA, 390 nt
Filed under: Dicrateria sp.
Lineage: Eukaryota; Haptophyta; Isochrysidales; Isochrysidaceae
Description: partial small subunit ribosomal RNA
Rfam family: Eukaryotic small subunit ribosomal RNA
Source: RNAcentral
AUUCCAGCUCCAAUAGCGUAUAUUAAAGUUGUUGCAGUUAAAACGCUCGUAGUCGGAUUUCGGGGCGGCUUCGUCGGUCUGCCGAUGGGUAUGCACUGACGCGGGCGUCCUUCCUUCCGGAGACGCGUCCUACUCUUAGCUGAGCGGGGCGUGGAGACGGAUCGUUUACUUUGAAAAAAUCAGAGUGUUUCAAGCAGGCAUCAUCGCUCUUGCAUGGAUUAGCAUGGGAUAAUGAAAUAGGACCUUGGUGCUAUUUUGUUGGUUUCUAGAACUGAAGUAAUGAUUGAUAGGGAUAGUUGGGGGUGCUAGUAUCCAGCGGCCAGAGGUGAAAUUCUUGGAUUCGCUGAAGACUAACUUAUGCGAAAGCAUUCACCAAGGAUGUCUUCAUCA